CCUACGGGAGGCAGCAGUGAGGAAUAUUGGUCAAUGGGCGAGAGCCUGAACCAGCCAAGUCGCGUGAAGGAUGACGGCCCUACGGGUUGUAAACUUCUUUUGUCAGGGAGCAAUUGAGUCCACGUGUGGGCUUAGCGAGAGUACCUGAAGAAAAAGCAUGGGCUAACUCCGUCCCAGCGGCCGCGGUAACACGGGGGAUGCGAGCGUUAUCGGGAUUUAUUGGGUUUAAAGGGUGCGUAGGCGGGAGAUCAAGACAGCGGUAAAAAUUCGGGGCUCAACGCAGUAGUGCCGUUGAAACUGGUGUUCUUGAGUGGAGUAGAAGUAUGCGGAAUGCGUGGUGUAGCGGUGAAAUGCUUAGAUAUCACGAAGAACUCCGAUUGCGAAGGCAGCAUACCGGCGCCCAACUGACGCUGAAGCACGAAAGCGUGGGUAUCGAACAGGAUUAGAUACCCUAGUAGUC
RNAcentral lists this ribosomal RNA (460 nucleotides) under uncultured bacterium. RNAcentral describes it as "partial 16S ribosomal RNA". It matches the Rfam family "Bacterial small subunit ribosomal RNA", at positions 338 to 795 of the family's 1533-position model. The record is from RNAcentral.